UCCGUAGGAGAAGUUCCCUGGUUUCCCUAGAGUUCUUCAGACGCUUCUCCAACUUUUGCUCUUGACAAGGGCUUUCCAUUCCUGUAAAGUUUUUUUGAAUUCUACCAGGCAAAGUACACAGAAAGUUCUGGUAGUGUUCAGGCCCCUCUACCACAAGCUAGGCGUUGCCGUCAUUGGUGCAACAUGGUCCCUCCCUAUCUACCAGCAUUGCCGCUGCCGAACGGUCGGGGCAGGUCGGGGCCUUUAUUUGUUUUGUUUACUUAAGUUAAUUGUUUUUUGGUUGUGUUUUUAUUCGUGCAAUACAAUGCCUUUUACCCUUA
Daphnia magna is the source of this 320-nucleotide long non-coding RNA. RefSeq lists it as uncharacterized. Lineage: Eukaryota; Metazoa; Arthropoda; Branchiopoda; Diplostraca; Daphniidae. The record is from RefSeq and is a predicted model, not a curated record. The transcript has 2 exons.